ACCUGGGUGGCUCAGUCAGUUGAGCAUCUGGCUUCGGCUCAGGUCACGAUCCUAGGGUCCUGGGAUCGAGUCCCACUUCAGGCA
RNAcentral lists this transfer RNA (84 nucleotides) under Canis lupus familiaris (dog). It matches the Rfam family "tRNA". Rfam says of the family: Transfer RNA (tRNA) molecules are approximately 80 nucleotides in length. Their secondary structure includes four short double-helical elements and three loops (D, anti-codon, and T loops). RNAcentral also lists the same sequence under 1 other name. Lineage: Eukaryota; Metazoa; Chordata; Mammalia; Carnivora; Canidae. The record is from Rfam by way of RNAcentral.